UACGUACACAUAUUAUACGUUGUAUUCUAUAAUAUAUAUACCAUAUUUAUGAAUAUUAAAUAUGAAAUAAUGAAAUUCUAAUAUAUGAAUAGGUGUUGGUUCUCUGGUAACUCUGAAGAUAAAUCUCCUUUUACGGGGGGAGGGAAGACCUGAGCAAUCGAUAUUACUUCGUUGAAUUUAUUCUACAAUCUGUAUAUAUCAUAUAUGAAUAUUUUUAAAAAUUAAGUGUUUAAAUUUCUACAAAUACUGAUCACGAUAAAUAUUCUAUCGAAAUUGGCAUAAAAUUAAUGGCUGCUAAAAAUAAAUCAUAAAAUGAAAUGUUUAUCUGAACUGUUGAAUAAUCAACAUUAAAAAGAAAGGAUGAUAAUGAUCGAAUACAUGAUCUUGAUUUGAUCGAAUAUUGAUUUUCUAUUAUUCUUACUUUAAUGCGUAUUAAAUUGAUUUUGACACUACAAAAAUAUAUAAAUAACAAUGAAAAUAAAGAAUGACCAACUGUUAAACAUGAAAAAACGGGUAUUCCUCCGUUUUUACAGUUGUACCAACUCGUACGAAUUUUAGUAACGAGAAUUUUCUAUAUAUUAUUUUCGUAUUUGCUUAAUUAAUUUGUUAUAAAUAAUCUUUUAAAGUAAAACUCGUUAAAUAUGUAAUAAAACUAUAUUAACGUAUUUAUUUCUAAAUUAUCUUCACCCCAAAUACACUAUACCAAUAAUUUUCAAGCGAAAAUCUAGUAAAUGUAACGGUGUAGUACGAUUUUAAGUGACACUCACUGUAUAUUUAUUUAUAGUGCAUUUAUUGGUACAGUUCGAAAAAUGAACAGAGUUGUAAGUUGUUUAAGUUGCACUAUCGCGCUAUUCGUUUACUGUAACAUUAAUAAAACUUUACGUUAUUAUUGAGAACAUUUACUUAUACACAGCUAAAAAUACAUAGCAUUGAAGGACAUCUCUUAUCGAUAGCUAAAGUGGAUAAUAGAAUAUGCCAGCGCUUUUACAGCGUUCUAAGAAGGAGAGAUACCUCGAACAUAGGGAGGGGAAGCAUGACAAUUUCCAUGGCAGCUACGUGGCAAAAUUAGUGAAAGGCGCCUCAAAGCUUCA
Molecule: long non-coding RNA, 1091 nt
Organism: Polistes dominula (European paper wasp)
Lineage: Eukaryota; Metazoa; Arthropoda; Insecta; Hymenoptera; Vespidae
Source: RefSeq, a predicted model, not a curated record